Lolium perenne is the source of this 214-nucleotide non-coding RNA. Lineage: Eukaryota; Viridiplantae; Streptophyta; Magnoliopsida; Poales; Poaceae. The record is from RefSeq and is a predicted model, not a curated record.
CCUGGUUCUUCUACUUCCUCACCAAAAGCUCAUUUGUUGUGACCAAGAUCAUUUUCCUCUUUUAUGAGAGGUGUUCAAAAUUUUGCUACAACAUCCAGGGUUAUCAAGAGGCUUGAGGCAACCUUCUGGCUGUAGCACACAGGACACUAGCAAUUGCUACAAGGAAGCCUUCCAGCUGCAGACUUAGCGGUCAGCUUGAAGAUAAAACUGUCCA